GAAUCAUGGCUCAGGAUGAACGCUAGCGACAGGCCUAACACAUGCAAGUCGAGGGGCAGCGGAGAGGUAGCAAUACCUUUGCCGGCGACCGGCGCACGGGUGAGUAACACGUAUGCAAUCCACCUGUAACAGGGGGAUAACCCGGAGAAAUCCGGACUAAUACCCCAUAAUAUGGGCGCUCCGCAUGGAGAGCCCAUUAAAGAGAGCAAUUUUGGUUACAGACGAGCAUGCGCU
Molecule: ribosomal RNA, 234 nt
Filed under: uncultured bacterium
Lineage: Bacteria
Description: partial 16S ribosomal RNA
Rfam family: Bacterial small subunit ribosomal RNA
Source: RNAcentral